GAUCAACCGAAGGAGCUACUGCGAUGGCUAUUAAAUCUGCUGACACAACAGGAGCCCCAUUGUGGUUGUCUGUUUCAUGGGGAUAUGUUGCAGUGAUGGUGAGAAUCUGGAGGAAGUUGAUGUCUUGCUUGGUAAUUUGUCCUAUUAAGUCAUCAUCAUUGAGUUCUUCCAUGAGAGCCAUCUGGAAUCCAGACAUGCAAUGACUUAAGUGACUGUCCAAACCACCAGAAUCCAGAUGUCUUGCCCAUGAUCUAUAUUGCCAGGUAUGAAGUUUGUUGCUGGGAGAGGACUUACCUAUCACUAGGCUGUGGAAUGAGUCUACUCAUCUCAAGUAUUUGAGACCAAGAAGUACCUCAUGUCAACUUCCAAGCUGCUGCCUGCUUAAUUCCUCCCCCAGACUUCUGUACUCAUUUGUCCUCUCAAGAAGUGCUGGAGUAGUAGAG
Molecule: long non-coding RNA, 443 nt
Filed under: Gallus gallus (chicken)
Lineage: Eukaryota; Metazoa; Chordata; Aves; Galliformes; Phasianidae
Description: lncRNA (ENSGALG00010007690.1)
Source: RNAcentral